Molecule: RNA transcript, 909 nt
Organism: Sapajus apella (tufted capuchin)
Lineage: Eukaryota; Metazoa; Chordata; Mammalia; Primates; Cebidae
Gene name: ferritin light chain-like
Exons: 2
Source: RefSeq, a predicted model, not a curated record
UCUCUUGCUUAAACAGUGUUUAGAGGAACAGAUACCGGGGACUCUUUCUUCCGGCCUCCGACCGCCCUCCGAUUUCCUCUCUACUUGCAACCUCCGGGACCAUCUUCUCGCCAUCUCCUGCUUCUGGGGACCUGCUAACACCGUUUUUGUGGUUAGCUCCUUUUUACUGACCAGCCAUGAGCCCCCAGAUUCGUCAGAAUUAUUCCACUGACGUGGAGGCAGCCAUCGACCGCCUGGUCCAUGUGUACCUGCAGGCCUCCUACGCCCACCUCUCUCUCACUGGGCUACUAUUUUGACCGCGAUGAUGUGGCUCUGGAAGGCAUGAGCCACUUCUUCCACGAAUUGGCCGAGGAGAAGCGCGAGGGCUAUGAGCGUCUCCUGAAGAUGCAAAACCAGCGUGGCGGCCGCGCCCUCUUCCAGGACAUCAAGAAGCCAACUCAAGAUGAGUGGGGUAAAACCCUGGACACCAUGGAAACCGCCAUGGCCCUGGAGAAAAGUCUGAACCAGGCCCUUUUGGAUCUUCAUGCCCUGGGUUCUGCCCGCACAGACCCCCAUCUCUGUGACUUCCUGGAGAGUCAUGUCCUAGAUGAAGAAGUGAAAAUCAUCAAGAAGAUGGGUGACCACCUGACCAACCUCCACAGGCUGGGCAGGGCCAAGGAUGGGGCGCUGCCAGGAGGCCAGUCCUGCAGCAGUGAGCAGGAGGGCAGGCCAGGAAGUGAGCCCCCUCCCCCACCAUCACUGGGGUCCUGCGGCCAGACUGACCGCUCCUCCUCUCACCCAUGCUGGACUGCCCGGCUCCUCCUUCUUUCCAAGGCCACCUUGGACCCACCUGAAGAACUGUCUGCCCAACCUAGCCUCAUUCAGUCUCACCAAAGCAGAACAUUCCAGGAGUGAGGUUCUCCCCACCCC